GCCAGGUUGCCCGAGCGGCCAAUGGGAGCGGACUGUAAAUCCGCCGCGUAAGCUUCGAAGGUUCGAAUCCUUCACCUGGCACCA
This 84-nucleotide transfer RNA is filed under the name Allobranchiibius sp. Its description in RNAcentral is "tRNA-Tyr". It matches the Rfam family "tRNA". From Rfam's summary of the family: Transfer RNA (tRNA) molecules are approximately 80 nucleotides in length. Their secondary structure includes four short double-helical elements and three loops (D, anti-codon, and T loops). RNAcentral also lists the same sequence under 2 other names. Lineage: Bacteria; Bacillati; Actinomycetota; Actinomycetes; Micrococcales; Dermacoccaceae. The record is from RNAcentral.